UACGGAGGGAGCAAGCGUUGUCCGGAAUCAUUGGGCGUAAAGCGCGCGUAGGUGGCUUCGUAAGUCCGUUGUGAAAGUCAAAGGCUCAACCUUUGAAAGCCGAUGGAUACUGCGGAGCUAGAGUACGGAAGAGGCGAGUGGAAUUCCUGGUGUAGCGGUGGAAUGCGCAGAUAUCAGGAGGAACACCAAUAGCGAAGGCAGCUCGCUGGGACGUUACUGACACUGAGGCGCGAAAGCGUGGGGAGCGGACAGG
Molecule: ribosomal RNA, 253 nt
Filed under: uncultured bacterium
Lineage: Bacteria
Description: partial 16S ribosomal RNA
Rfam family: Bacterial small subunit ribosomal RNA
Source: RNAcentral